This 76-nucleotide non-coding RNA is filed under the name Burkholderiales bacterium. The record is from RNAcentral. Lineage: Bacteria; Pseudomonadati; Pseudomonadota; Betaproteobacteria; Burkholderiales.
CUCGCCACCAGCGCCGAUUUGUUCCAGAUUGCGGGCGCUUUAGAAAUGCCGCUAAAGGGGAGAUUCCCGGUCUCGC